RNAcentral lists this ribosomal RNA (253 nucleotides) under uncultured bacterium. Its description in RNAcentral is "partial 16S ribosomal RNA". It matches the Rfam family "Bacterial small subunit ribosomal RNA", at positions 524 to 776 of the family's 1533-position model. The record is from RNAcentral.
AACGUAGGACACGCGCGUUAUCCGGAGUUACUGGGCGUAAAGGGCGGGUAGGUGGUGCGAUAAGACUGGUGUGAAAGCCUUCGGCUUAACCGAGGGAGGACACUGGUGACUGUCGGACUUGAGGCAGAUAGAGGGGUGUAGAAUUCCGGGUGUAGUGGUGAAAUGCGUAGAGAUCCGGAGGAAUACCAGAGGCGAAGGCGGCACCCUGGGUCUGACCUGACACUGAUCCGCGACAGCAUGGGGAGCGAACGGG